RNAcentral lists this ribosomal RNA (504 nucleotides) under uncultured bacterium. RNAcentral describes it as "bacterial SSU rRNA". It matches the Rfam family "Bacterial small subunit ribosomal RNA", at positions 17 to 518 of the family's 1533-position model. The record is from RNAcentral.
UCCUGGCUCAGGACGAACGCUGGCGGCGUGCUUAACACAUGCAAGUCGAACGGGGAUAGCGUUGGAAGUCCUUCGGGGUGGAAGAUGCUAUUCGAGUGGCGGACGGGUGAGUAACGCGUGAACAAUCUAUCCCAGACAGGGGGAUAACACUUGGAAACAGGUGCUAAUACCGCAUAAGACCACGGUGUCGCAUGGCACAGGGGUAAAAGGAGCGAUCCGGUUUGGGGUGAGUUCGCGUCCGAUUAGCCAGUUGGCGGGUAACGGCCCACCAAAGCGACGAUCGGUAGCCGAUCUGAGAGGAUGACCGGCCACAUUGGAACUGAGAGACGGUCCAAACUCCUACGGGAGGCAGCAGUGGGGAAUAUUGGGCAAUGGGCGAAAGCCUGACCCAGCAACGCCGCGUGAGUGAAGAAGGCCUUCAGGUUGUAAAGCUCUGUUAUAGGGGACGAAGUGCGCGACGGUACCCUAUAAGGAAGCCCCGGCUAACUACGUGCCAGCCGCAGC